RNAcentral lists this transfer RNA (75 nucleotides) under bacterium. RNAcentral's name for it is "tRNA-Glu". It matches the Rfam family "tRNA". Rfam says of the family: Transfer RNA (tRNA) molecules are approximately 80 nucleotides in length. Their secondary structure includes four short double-helical elements and three loops (D, anti-codon, and T loops). RNAcentral also lists the same sequence under 4 other names. The record is from RNAcentral.
GGCGCCAUCGUCUAUCGGUUAGGACAGCCGCCUUUCACGUGGCAAAGACGGGUUCGAUUCCCGUUGGCGCUACCA